RNAcentral lists this ribosomal RNA (754 nucleotides) under uncultured Glomus. Its description in RNAcentral is "SSU rRNA". It matches the Rfam family "Eukaryotic small subunit ribosomal RNA", at positions 338 to 1092 of the family's 1831-position model. The record is from RNAcentral. RNAcentral also lists the same sequence under 1 other name. Lineage: Eukaryota; Fungi; Glomeromycota; Glomeromycetes; Glomerales; Glomeraceae.
GGCCUACCAUGGUGGUAACGGGUAACGGGGUGUUAGGGCACGACACCGGAGAGGGAGCCUGAGAAACGGCUACCACAUCCAAGGAAGGCAGCAGGCGCGCAAAUUACCCAAUCCCGACACGGGGAGGUAGUGACAAUAAAUAACAAUACAGGGUUCUUUUGGAUCUUGUAAUUGGAAUGAGUACAAUUUAAAUCUCUUAACGAGGAACAAUUGGAGGGCAAGUCUGGUGCCAGCAGCCGCGGUAAUUCCAGCUCCAAUAGCGUAUAUUAAAGUUGUUGCAGUUAAAAAGCUCGUAGUUGAAUUUCGGGAUCAAUAUUUCGGUCAUGCCGUUGGUAUGCACUGUUAUCAUUGAUUUCUCACCUUCUAAAGAACCGUAAUGCCAUUAAUUUGGUGUUACGGGGAAUUAGGACUGUUACCUUGAAAAAAUUAGAGUGUUUAAAGCAGGCUCACGCUUGAAUACAUUAGCAUGGAAUAAUGAAAUAGGACAUCCGAUUCUAUUUUGUUGGUUUCUAGGAUCGAUGUAAUGAUUAAUAGGGAUAGUUGGGGGCAUUAGUAUUCAAUUGUCAGAGGUGAAAUUCUUGGAUUUAUUGAAGACUAACUACUGCGAAAGCAUUUGCCAAGGAUGUUUUCAUUAAUCAAGAACGAAAGUUAGGGGAUCGAAGACGAUCAGAUACCGUCGUAGUCUUAACCAUAAACUAUGCCGACUAGGGAUCGGAUGAUGUUAAUUUUUUAAUGACUCAUUCGGCGCCUUACG